Molecule: small nuclear RNA, 19 nt
Filed under: Arabidopsis thaliana (thale cress)
Lineage: Eukaryota; Viridiplantae; Streptophyta; Magnoliopsida; Brassicales; Brassicaceae
Description: snRNA_16335
Source: RNAcentral
CUCGUCAUCUAAUUAGUGA